RNAcentral lists this transfer RNA (88 nucleotides) under Nocardioides aquaticus. RNAcentral's name for it is "tRNA-Arg". The record is from RNAcentral. Lineage: Bacteria; Bacillati; Actinomycetota; Actinomycetes; Propionibacteriales; Nocardioidaceae.
CGGCCAGCUCGGGCAGCGGCACCCACGCCACCUGCGAGGUGGUGCCGCCGACCUCGGUGACCCGUGGCUCCGCGGCCGGGUCGGCCGC